Molecule: ribosomal RNA, 428 nt
Filed under: uncultured prokaryote
Description: bacterial SSU rRNA
Rfam family: Bacterial small subunit ribosomal RNA
Source: RNAcentral
UGAGGAAUAUUGCGCAAUGGGGGAAACCCUGACGCAGCAACGCCGCGUGAGUGAGGAAGGUUUUCGGACCGUAAAGCUCUGUCGAGCGGGAAGAAAUGCAUGGUGGCUAAUAUCCAUCAUGCUUGACGGUACCGCUAAAGGAAGCACCGGCUAACUCCGUGCCAGCAGCCGCGGUAAGACGUAGGGGGCGAGCGUUGUUCGGAAUUACUGGGCGUAAAGAGCUCGUAGGCUGGAAAUUAAGUCUUUGAAUAAAUCUCCCGGCUUAACCGGGAACAAUUUAGAGAUACUGAUUUUCUUGAGAACAGGAGAGGGGAAUGGAAUUCCUAGUGUAGCGGUGAAAUGCGUAGAUAUUAGGAGGAACACCAGUGGCGAAGGCGACUUUCUGGCCCUAUACUGACGCUGAGACGCGAAAGCGUGGGUAGCAAACA